GAGUGCUUGCACUCCGCUGACGACCGGCGCACGGGUGCGUAACGCGUAUGCAACCUACCUUCUACAGGGGGAUAGCCCAGAGAAAUUUGGAAUAAUACCCCAUACGAUCAUUAAUCGGCAUCGAUUGAUGAAGAAAACUCCGGUGGUAGAAGAUGGGCAUGCGUCCUAUUAGUUAGUUGGUGAGGUAACGGCUCACCAAGACGUCGAUAGGUAGGGGUCCUGAGAGGGAGAUCCCCCACACUGGUACUGAGACACGGACCAGACUCCUACGGGAGGCAGCAGUGAGGAAUAUUGGACAAUGGAGGCAACUCUGAUCCAGCCAUGCCGCGUGCAGGAAGACGGCCCUAUGGGUUGUAAACUGCUUUUAUACAGGAAGAAUUGUACCUACGUGUAGGUAUUUGACGGUACUGUACGAAUAAGG
This 421-nucleotide ribosomal RNA is filed under the name uncultured Flavobacteriaceae bacterium. RNAcentral's name for it is "bacterial SSU rRNA". It matches the Rfam family "Bacterial small subunit ribosomal RNA", at positions 74 to 491 of the family's 1533-position model. Lineage: Bacteria; Pseudomonadati; Bacteroidota; Flavobacteriia; Flavobacteriales; Flavobacteriaceae. The record is from RNAcentral.